Molecule: long non-coding RNA, 1125 nt
Filed under: Vulpes vulpes (red fox)
Lineage: Eukaryota; Metazoa; Chordata; Mammalia; Carnivora; Canidae
Description: lncRNA (ENSVVUG00000014329.1)
Source: RNAcentral
CUCAGUGAUAGGUUAAUCUAUAAUUCAUUGGAAGAGAUUGUAUAAGGCUAUAAUCAGAUAAAUUUUAACCUCCAGUUGACAUGGAGAGGCAGAGUUAUGAAUAUGAAAUAUGGUGGAUUUAGCUAAUAAAAAAAUGGAAACUACACUACACCAUUUAUUAGCUGUGUGGUUAUGGCAAGCAAUUUACAUUUACUUGGGGGAAGCUCCUGUGUCUUAAAGGCAAUUCUAAAGAAUAUUAGUAUGAGUUAUUUUUUCUAAUGAUGAUAGGAAGCCGUAAGAGUAUUUUAAGCAAAAAUUACCCUAGUAUACAUAAAAUUCAGUCCCUUUCAUUCUUGUGCAUUCGCAACAAAGGGUCCGGCAUAAUGAAGUGAUUCUGGGAAAGCAAUGGUCAAAUAUGUUGGUGAUAACACAUAAAAAGAGAGUGCAACUCAUCUCACCUCAAAAGAGGAAAUGGAGAACAGUGACUGACUUGUGUGGCCAGUGGUACACAAUUAUGGCACAGUGGGAAGAAAGUAGCAGCAUGUGAGGGCAAUAAAAGAUGCUGCAUACCAAUUCAGUUCCCAAUGAUGUGGAAUGUGGGAUGUCAUACCGAAAACGUCUCCCAGGGGCACCUUGGUGGCUCAAUCUAUUAAGUGGCUGCCUUCAGCUCAGAGUCAUGAUCCCAGAAUCCCUGGAUGGAGCCCUACAUCAGGCUUUCUGCUCAACAGGUGUCUGCUUCUCCCUCUCUCUCUGCCCCUCCUCCUGUUUGCCCUCUCUUUCUCUUUUUCUCAUUCUCUCUCUCAAAUCAAUGAAUAAAAUCUUUAAAAAAAAGAAAAGAAAAAAGAAAAUAUCUCUCAAAUCAAUGUCUUCAGCUUUGCUCUUUUUUGUGAGUUCUAGGUUUUUGUUUCUCUAUGGACAUGUUUCUUACUGAAUAUUUUGCUACCAUUUUAAACAUGGUAUUUAAAAAGUAUAAAAUGUUUAACCACAGGAUUGUUUUCUUGACUAUUUUAUCUAUAUUCCAAAGAAACUAUAUUUCUUGUGGUCAAAGAGGUUUGAAACCUUAGAGAUGUUUUUGUCCUCAGUGCUUUAUUUCUCUACCAAGUUCUAUUACUUUCCUUCUGUAAAAUUUCACAGGUUUGACUGUGA